UACGGAGGGAGCUAGCGUUGUUCGGAAUUACUGGGCGUAAAGAGCGUGUAGGCGGCCAUGUAGGUCCGUUGUGAAAACUCGAGGCUCAACCUCGAGACGCCGAUGGAAACCAUGUGGCUAGAGUCCGGAAGAGGAGAGUGGAAUUCCUGGUGUAGCGGUGAAAUGCGCAGAUAUCAGGAAGAACACCCGUGGCUAAGGCGGCUCUCUAGUACGGUACUGACGCUGAUAUACGAAAGCGUGGGGAGCAAACAGG
RNAcentral lists this ribosomal RNA (253 nucleotides) under uncultured bacterium. Its description in RNAcentral is "partial 16S ribosomal RNA". It matches the Rfam family "Bacterial small subunit ribosomal RNA", at positions 524 to 776 of the family's 1533-position model. The record is from RNAcentral.